RNAcentral lists this transfer RNA (75 nucleotides) under Hydrogenophilaceae bacterium. Its description in RNAcentral is "tRNA-Gln". It matches the Rfam family "tRNA". Rfam says of the family: Transfer RNA (tRNA) molecules are approximately 80 nucleotides in length. Their secondary structure includes four short double-helical elements and three loops (D, anti-codon, and T loops). Lineage: Bacteria; Pseudomonadati; Pseudomonadota; Hydrogenophilia; Hydrogenophilales; Hydrogenophilaceae. The record is from RNAcentral.
UGCCCGUUCGUCUAAUUGGUAGGAUCCUUGAGUUUGAGUCAGGAGACGCACGUUCGAAUCGUGCACGGGCAUCCA